GACCAAAAAAACCUUAAGUUUUUGGUUAAAGUGGAUUGUUAUCUAGUUCAAAUGCUGAUAAACUUUGCUAAUAGAAAACGAAGAGAGCAACAGAAAACGAUGAGACCUUAUGGUUUCAAAGAAUCCUACUAAUUAAUACUCCAGAACUCUCACAAGAUCUCCUACUAUUCUUCCCGUUACUCUUAAAUCACCGGUCUAUCGCAUGGAAUGUAGUGAUGCGCAUACAUAUAUAUUUUUUAUUUUUUUUGAAGACCGAUUCUUAAAUUAAACUAAAAGAGGGAAGAACUUUUUAAAGAAAAAAUUAGUAGGCCAAGUAGAAAGCAUUUUGAUAAUUUCUUGAUUAACAUAUUGAUAUUGGAUUAGGAGCAUACUGGACUCAUGCAUUGGCUCGUACAUACAUAGAUGUUGGAUCCUGAGCAUGCAUAUAUACCUAUUUUUGGCUCAUGCAGUGAUUUGAUAUAAAUGUUGUUGACGUAGACCCAAAAUGAAAGUCGCUAACUGUCUUCUUGAUUUUUGUUCAGGGACAAAUGGUGGAAGGCAAAAGGAAAUGUAUCAUAUUUUUGUACAAAUAUGUAAAGGCUCUACUAAGUGCCAUUUUGGAUGCAUAUUUAUAAGACAGUUGAUAGACACCUCUUUUCCCCCUGGGGUAGGGGUAAGGCUUGCGUACGUAUUACCCUUCCUAGCCCCACUAGUGGAAUUAUACUGGGCCGCUAGACACCUCUUUUGCCCCUCGGGGUAGGGGUAAGACUUGCGUACGUAUUACCCUUCUUAUACCCCACUAGUGGAAUUAUACUGGGCCGUUGUUGUGGUUGAUGGACACCUCUUUUGCUUGUUACUAUAUUUUGUAACUCAUUAGUGCAACUAUUAUUGGUAAUAUAGGGUUCACUUGUACUGUAUCUUGAAAUUAGAGGCAAGAUGUUAUUACUGAUUUAUUCGAAUUCUUCGUUAGUUAGAUACCAAUUAGUGCACAUCAAACAUGUUGUGACUUCGUGUUAUUUUGUCUCCAUUGCACUGAACUUGUGGAUAAUGGCGUAGCUAGAAAUUUUAAUAAGG
This 1053-nucleotide long non-coding RNA is filed under the name Nicotiana benthamiana. RNAcentral describes it as "long non-coding RNA (NBEN_LNC041584)". The record is from RNAcentral. Lineage: Eukaryota; Viridiplantae; Streptophyta; Magnoliopsida; Solanales; Solanaceae.